CUGGGUUCAAGAAGGAAGGAACCUCAUUGUUGACAGUUACCAGAUGAAUGUGCCCCUUCUGUACAGCUAAGAAAUGGAAUAGACAUUGGUAACCUUCCACAGGCCCACACAUGUGUUAUCAGCCAUACCUUAGGACAGAAGGAAUGAGUUUGCAGAAAGGAUGUGGCACUUGCCAGUAAUUCACACAUGCUGAUAGCUCUUCAGAACUCAUGAAGACAUAAGGUGCUUCAAAAGAGGAGACUUUCGGAACAUGAGCAGGGAAAUUGUCACUUGAUAGAUGACAAGCAUUGUGAGAAACAACAGUUUGCCUUUCUUCAUUCCCUUCCUGGUUAUCUUUCCUGUCACAUGAAGAAGAAAUGAAACACCAGAGAGAAUCAGGUUAUCAUCAUCUACACCAGCCACUGUCACUGGUUAAGUAUUAGUUUAAUAUUCCAUUCUUCAUAUAAGAUGGUACCUGACCCACCAUUCCCUGUACAUGCAUUUUGAAUUGUUUCCCACACAUGGCAUUGCAGGAGAAGUUUCUUGGUC
This is a long non-coding RNA of Homo sapiens (human), 528 nucleotides long. The record is from Ensembl. NCBI's taxonomy places the organism in Eukaryota, Metazoa, Chordata, Mammalia, Primates, Hominidae.